RNAcentral lists this ribosomal RNA (301 nucleotides) under uncultured bacterium. RNAcentral describes it as "partial 16S ribosomal RNA". It matches the Rfam family "Bacterial small subunit ribosomal RNA", at positions 509 to 807 of the family's 1533-position model. The record is from RNAcentral.
CAGUAGCCGCGGGAAAACGUAGGUGGCAAGCGUUGUCCGGAAUUAUUGGGCGUAAAGGGCUCGCAGGCGGUUUCUUAAGUCUGAUGUGAAAGCCCCCGGCUCAGCCGGGGAGGGUCAUUGGAAACUGGGAAACUUGAGUGCAGAAGAGGAGAGUGGAAUUCCACGUGUAGCGGUGAAAUGCGUAGAGAUGUGGAGGAACACCAGUGGCGAAGGCGACUCUCUGGUCUGUAACUGACGCUGAGGAGCGAAAGCGUGGGGAGCGAACAGGAUUAGAUACCCCGGUAGUCCCUGUCUCUUAUAC